This is a non-coding RNA of Cinara cedri, 1442 nucleotides long. The record is from the annotation of a GenBank genome assembly. NCBI's taxonomy places the organism in Eukaryota, Metazoa, Arthropoda, Insecta, Hemiptera, Aphididae.
GUAGUGACAACCUUGUGCAGUUGUGGUAGUUUUAAUAUCAAAAUAAAUAAACCAAUUAUGAAAUUUAAAGAUAUGAACAUUAACUGUGCAACGUUGGCGUUGAUUUAAUUCUCAAUCGAUAUAUUAUAAGCAUUAUUUGAAUAUGAUAUUUCGCACAGUCAUGUCUCUCAUGAAAAUUAAAAUUACGAACGAAGAGUCCUCACGUUGUCCAGAUAAUGUUCUUGUAUUUUGCGAUGAAAAUCGCAAUGGCAAUAUUUUACAACUAUACUAAAUUAUUAUUCGGCAUCCGUUCGAAACCAAUUUGACAGUCUGUUGUUAUUAACCAAACUCAUUUUUGUGUAUUAUAAUUACUAAGGCGGUGAUAAGAGUAAAAUUACCGGAUUUUUUUUUGUCGAGAGAAAACGCACAAUCAACUGUUUAAAAUUCCGGUGCUUGUGUGUUGUCAGUUAUACAGUACCACACAGAAAUACCAAAUUGUUAUUGCGAGCAGUAAUUUAUAUCAAACCGGCGCAGCAGUCGGCCGGGUACAAAUAGCAACACUAUUAUUAUUUUAUAACAAUAUAUACGAGUGCACAUAAAUGUUGUUUCCCAGAAGGUACUCGCAAGUCUGAGAUGCGAUUUCCGAUUUUGAUUUGGACGAUGGUGACCACCGUGAUGGCCGUGGAGAGUGUCCAGGUAUCGAACUUCGACAGUGACGUCCAAAAACUGUUAAGACAUCGCUGUGCACUCGGGUUAAAUUUCCAAUGGCCUUAGCAAAUCAACACCACCGAGAAUCCCGAUCUUACGACGCACUUGUGCCCACCCGGUAUGUUGUAUAGCAUAAAGAGCCAUAGAUGUGUAAUAACGGGAAUGGUCUGUCCGGAAGGCUCGAAGCUAGACUACAGCCUCCGUAAUUGCAUCUUGGAAAAAUCCACGACGGAGUCAACCUCAGCGAAAACCAAAGCACCAACCCUGGCGACAACUAAAGUACUAACGUAGCCACAUCAUCAGUGGCGCAACAACCGGGGAGGAUGGCGAUGCCUAACAUCGGGGCCAUAAGGCUCUAAGGGGGUCCCGUCAUAGUUGUAAACUGGGAGGGUGUUUUUACUUAAUAGAUUCAAAUUAAAGCUGCGAUCAUUUAUCAUAAAUCAUAAAUCAUUAUACAUUUUUUCUUUAUAAUUUAUAAUGUGUCAUUGUUUUUAUCGUUUAUUAUUACAAUUUACUUUUACUAUAACAUGCAUGUAUUAUUAUUUCGCUGAUCAUAGUUAAAAAUUGAGUUCAUAAAAUAGCGCGUUUAAUGAUAAGUAGUCAGUAUUAAAAGAAAAUAUUCCCAAGAAAAGGCCCAAGACUUACCUUAUUAUCGGGGCCCCAAGAACCUAGUUGUGCCACUUAUCUAUAUCUGCAGCAUUUAACUGCAAUUUAAUAACCUAACAUGUAUGUUGUAUAUAAUGUAUUAUCAUGAC